GCCCUGAUAGUAUAAACAA
This 19-nucleotide transfer RNA is filed under the name Myodes glareolus (Bank vole). Its description in RNAcentral is "partial tRNA-Thr". Lineage: Eukaryota; Metazoa; Chordata; Mammalia; Rodentia; Cricetidae. The record is from RNAcentral.